This 635-nucleotide ribosomal RNA is filed under the name Mucor racemosus. RNAcentral describes it as "eukaryotic LSU rRNA". The stretch from base 240 to 392 matches the Rfam family "5.8S ribosomal RNA". Lineage: Eukaryota; Fungi; Mucoromycota; Mucoromycetes; Mucorales; Mucoraceae. RNAcentral also lists the same sequence under 1 other name. The record is from RNAcentral.
UCCGUAGGUGAACCUGCGGAAGGAUCAUUAAAUAAUCAAUAAUCUUGGCUUGUCCAUUAUUAUCUAUUUACUGUGAACUGUAUUAUUAUUUGACGUUUGAGGGAUGUUCCAAUGUUAUAAGGAUAGACAUUGGAGAUGUUAACCGAGUCAUAAUCAGGUUUAGGCCUGGUAUCCUAUUAUUAUUUACCAAAUGAAUUCAGAAUUAAUAUUGUAACAUAGACCUAAAAAAUCUAUAAAACAACUUUUAACAACGGAUCUCUUGGUUCUCGCAUCGAUGAAGAACGUAGCAAAGUGCGAUAACUAGUGUGAAUUGCAUAUUCAGUGAAUCAUCGAGUCUUUGAACGCAACUUGCGCUCAUUGGUAUUCCAAUGAGCACGCCUGUUUCAGUAUCAAAACAAACCCUCUAUCCAACUUUUGUUGUAUAGGAUUAUUGGGGGCCUCUCGAUCUGUAUAGAUCUUGAAACCCUUGAAAUUUACUAAGGCCUGAACUUGUUUAAUGCCUGAACUUUUUUUUAAUAUAAAGGAAAGCUCUUGUAAUUGACUUUGAUGGGGCCUCCCAAAUAAAUCUUUUUUAAAUUUGAUCUGAAAUCAGGUGGGAUUACCCGCUGAACUUAAGCAUAUCAAUAAGCGGAGGA